ACUUUAUAGAAAUCACUCUUCCAUCUUCUCCAUUCACAGACGGCGGACGAACUAGGGUUCGAUUGUAGGUUAUGUGGGAAUGAUUUGAAUGAGCAAAUUAAUAUUACGCAACACAUCCACAAUCUUCCAGUCACGGCGCAUAGAGAAGGCAACGAAUCUAGGAUUUUGGAGAGAUGUAAUGGCGAAGACGAAGGUUGGUGCUGGAGGUUCGUAACAAUGGUUUCCUUUUGUUUACAAUGGUUUAAGAUUCGUAAGCGGUGUUCUUUUUAUUACUGUGGAAUCCAUCUGCAGUCUCUCUAUAAAUCUCUUAGGUUUCUUCGCUUGUUGUGAAAAAUCGGUAGCUUAUGUGUAGAAUCAGUGAGAUUUUUGAAAGUUCCCCUUUUCUUUAAACGAUUGUGGGGUUUUAUAUGUUUGUAGUCCAAAAUUGGGGUUUUUUAGAUUUGGGGUAUAAUUUUCUAUUGAUUCCAGUAAUUGAUUUUUUCCAUCUUGGGUGCGGAUGUGGGAUUAUGUGCGUGGAACCCAUCUGCACUCUUUCUCUCACUUUUAAAUUUCUUGGAUUAUUGUGAAAAAUUGAUUCCCUAUGUUACGAAUUUUUUUGAAUUAGUUACGAAUGUUUUUGAAUUUGUUACGAAUUCCUUAUGUUAAGAAUAUUAGGCAAUUUAUGUUUUGGGUUCACGAACCAAAAGUUGAAGCGCCACUUUUUUUUUGGGAAAUUCUAGGUCUACGAUAUUCAAAGGCGGCGAAUGAGUUGGGCAAAGAAAUCCUUUGUCAUUGAACCGUACUCUCUCGUGAAUACUGCUCUGUUGUGAAAUCGCGCGAUAUUGCAAGGUUGUGGAGUGAGCUGCACUACUUCGUGUGAUCUAAAAAUGGCAAGGAUUAAAGGUAAUAAAUCAUGAAAUAUUGGAUACUGGAGUUCGUUAGAUUAGCUUUUUCUCUUCUCAGUUUCAGUUUAUAAUGGAACACUCAUUUUUGGUUCAUCUAGUUCUUGACGUUUGAGAAUAUAACACCCAUUUUUGGUUGAUAGAUUUAGGUUAUGGGUUCGGGAACCAAAAUUUUUGGUAGUCCAUUUGAGUAAUCUAUGUUGGUAGUAUUUUUUUCCGGUCUGUUGCUUUCUUGUUUCCACUAUUCGUGUAGAUGGCUUGCUUGCUGACACAAAUAUUUGUGAUUAUUAGUUACGAAUCACAUCGCAAUUACAAACGAAUUAAUUGCGCAUGCUGAUAUCAUGGUAGCAGUGUAUAGUGGAUGAGUUUUGGGGGG
This 1257-nucleotide long non-coding RNA is filed under the name Salvia miltiorrhiza (redroot sage). Its description in RNAcentral is "long non-coding RNA (SMIL_LNC006030)". Lineage: Eukaryota; Viridiplantae; Streptophyta; Magnoliopsida; Lamiales; Lamiaceae. The record is from RNAcentral.